This 616-nucleotide ribosomal RNA is filed under the name uncultured bacterium. Its description in RNAcentral is "bacterial SSU rRNA". It matches the Rfam family "Bacterial small subunit ribosomal RNA", at positions 68 to 730 of the family's 1533-position model. The record is from RNAcentral.
GCGCCCUUCGGGGUGAGCGGCGGACGGGUUAGUAACGCGUGGGAAUAUGCCCGACACUAAGGAAUAGCCUCUGGAAACGGAGAGUAAUACCUUAUACGCCCUACGGGGGAAAGAUUUAUCGGUGACGGAUUAGCCCGCGUUAGAUUAGAUAGUUGGUGGGGUAAUGGCCUACCAAGUCUACGAUCUAUAGCUGGUUUUAGAGGAUGAUCAGCAACACUGGGACUGAGACACGGCCCAGACUCCUACGGGAGGCAGCAGUGGGGAAUCUUGGACAAUGGGCGCAAGCCUGAUCCAGCCAUGCCGCGUGAGUGAUGAAGGCCUUAGGGUCGUAAAGCUCUUUCGCCAGGGAUGAUAAUGACAGUACCUGGUAAAGAAACCCCGGCUAACUCCGUGCCAGCAGCCGCGGUAAUACGGAGGGGGUUAGCGUUGUUCGGAAUUACUGGGCGUAAAGCGCGCGUAGGCCGAUUAGUCAGUUAGAGGUGAAAUCCCGGGGCUCAACCCCGGAACUGCCUUUAAUACUGCUAGUCUUGAGUUCGAGAGAGGUGAGUGGAAUUCCGAGUGUAGAGGUGAAAUUCGUAGAUAUUCGGAGGAACACCAGUGGCGAAGGCGGCUCACG